RNAcentral lists this ribosomal RNA (253 nucleotides) under uncultured bacterium. RNAcentral's name for it is "partial 16S ribosomal RNA". It matches the Rfam family "Bacterial small subunit ribosomal RNA", at positions 524 to 776 of the family's 1533-position model. The record is from RNAcentral.
UACGAAGGGGGCUAGCGUUGCUCGGAAUCACUGGGCGUAAAGCGCACGUAGGCGGAUUGCUAAGUCAGGGGUGAAAUCCUGGAGCUCAACUCCAGAACUGCCUUUGAUACUGGCAACCUUGAGUCCGGGAGAGGUGAGUGGAACUGCGAGUGUAGAGGUGAAAUUCGUAGAUAUUCGCAAGAACACCAGUGGCGAAGGCGGCUGACUGGCCCGGUACUGACGCUGAGGUGCGAAAGCGUGGGGAGCAAACAGG